Molecule: unclassified non-coding RNA, 202 nt
Filed under: Hevea brasiliensis (rubber tree)
Lineage: Eukaryota; Viridiplantae; Streptophyta; Magnoliopsida; Malpighiales; Euphorbiaceae
Source: RNAcentral
GGCAUCAAACGCGAUCUCGAGCCCGGUCCCCGUGACGUGGUAUCCGACGCUUGCUGUCCUCCAUUUCGUCAUCGGCCUCAUCGUCACCGCCUCCUUCUUCAUUUAUGAAGCUACUACGUCCAAGAAGAAUCGUACCCUGUCAAAGGAAGUCGCCAUGGGGGCUAUUGCCUCUGUGUUCCUGGGCUUUGGAUCUCUGUUUCUG